RNAcentral lists this ribosomal RNA (472 nucleotides) under uncultured bacterium. Its description in RNAcentral is "partial 16S ribosomal RNA". The stretch from base 49 to 472 matches the Rfam family "Bacterial small subunit ribosomal RNA", at positions 36 to 507 of the family's 1533-position model. The record is from RNAcentral.
GGGGGGGGGGGGGGGGGGGCGGGGCGCGGGGGGGGGGGGCGGGGGGGCCCGGCGGGGGGCGCGGGCGGCGGACGGGUGGGGAACACGUGAGGAAUCGGCCCGGGGCGUUGGGAGAACUACCGGAAACGGGGGCUAAGACCGGAUACGACACCCGUCGGCAUGGGCUGGUUGUGGCAAGUUGUUUCGGCCAGGGAUGUGCUCGCGGCCUAUCAGCUCGUUGGUGGGGUAAUGGCCUACCAAGGCUUCGACGGGUAGCCGGCCUGAGAGGGUGACCGGCCACACUGGGACUGAGACACGGCCCAGACUCCUACGGGAGGCAGCAGUGGGGAAUAUUGGACAAUGGGCGGAAGCCUGAUCCAGCAACGCCGCGUGAGGGAUGACGGCCUUCGGGUUGUAAACCUCUUUCAGUACCGACGAAGCGCCGAUGAUGGUGGUGACGGUAGGUACAGAAGAAGCACCGGCCAACUACGUG